This is a non-coding RNA of Vicugna pacos (alpaca), 182 nucleotides long. NCBI's taxonomy places the organism in Eukaryota, Metazoa, Chordata, Mammalia, Artiodactyla, Camelidae. The record is from RefSeq and is a predicted model, not a curated record.
AUUUAGAAGAGGGGAAGAUACUUCUAGUGAAGAUUAAAAAAAGAUGAAGAAGAGUGAGGUGCUGACCUAGUGAGGGUGUCUUCUGCUGCCCAGUCCACUGGAGCCGCUGAAGAGAGGAGCACGUAGCCCUGACCUGACGCUGACCCUGAUUUUCUCCUCUUCUUGUAAGAAUCCCAUCUUCA